UGGAAGACAAGUGCUUCCCUGAUGAGCUGU
Molecule: non-coding RNA, 30 nt
Filed under: Homo sapiens (human)
Lineage: Eukaryota; Metazoa; Chordata; Mammalia; Primates; Hominidae
Source: RNAcentral